GUCGUAACAAGGUUUCCGUAGGUGAACCUGCGGAAGGAUCAUUCAUGAAUCAGGCUUUAAGCCUGCUCAUUUUUACCCUGUGAAAUAUAUUUUCUGGUUGGAGGUUUUACCUGCACUGGUUAAAAUUUAGACCUGCCUAGGCGGGUUUAGGUCUUAAUCAGAACCUAAGUGUACCUCGAGUGCCCUAGGGUUGGUUACCUUAAUUUAGCCUGGUAUUUUUUACCUAGCUUGCCAGCCAAACUACUAGGUUGUAGGAACGUCUCUACUACGACCCAGGCAGGCAAGUUACCUGAACGCCUUUAGGGCUGAUUUGACUGCCUCCAGGAUGAACGUCUCUAGUCCUGGGUUAUACCUAAUGUCAUUAUGUCUAAGGUCUAGAUAAAAGUAAAACUUUUAGCAACGGAUCUCUAGGCUCUCAUUUCGAUGAAGAACGCAGCAAAAUGCGAUAAGUAGUGUGGAUUGCUGAUUCUCGUGAAUCAUUGAAUCUUUGAACGCCAAGUGCACUUCCUGGUAUUCCAGGGAGUAUGCCUGUUUCAGUGUCUAUAAAAUCUCACCUACGUGUGGUUAUGAGGUCGCCUGCUUUGGCUUCUUUAAAAUAUUAGGAUCUAUGGGUUUAAUCUCCUUACCUUUUAGGUGGAAUUAACCUGGAUAAUGCUACCCUAGGCAAGUCUGCCUAGUCCUUUUUUUACGACCUGAAAUCAAGCAAGAGUACCCGCUGAACUUAAGCAUAUUAAUAAGCGUAGGAAAAGAAACUAACAAGGAUUCCCUUAGUAGCGGCGAGCGAAACGGGAAUAGCUCAAAUUUAAAAUCAACCUUGUGUUGAAUUGUAGUUUGUAGAGGUGUUUUCACUAGGAGUGGUUGGUUCAAGUCCCUUGGAACAGGGUGCCAGAGAGGGUGAUAGCCCCUUUAUUCCAACCUACCCUAACUUGAUACACUUUCAAAGAGUCGGGUUGUUUGGGAAUGCAACCCUAAAUGGGUGGUAAAUUUCAUCUAAAGCUAAAUAUAAAUGAGAGCCCGAUAGCAAACAAGUACCGUGAGGGAAAGAUGAAAAGAACUUUGAAAAGAGAGUUCAAUAGUACGUGAAAUUGCUAAAAGGGAAACACUGGAAACCAGUGUAGUUAAGGCCUAUUCAGCCUGGCAGUAUGCCUGGUGUAUUUGGGUCUAACAGGUCAACAUCAUUUUUGGGGGCUAGAAAAGUGCAAAGGCAGGUAGUUGGGCAACCAGCUUUAAGCCUAGUAUCAUCUGGCCCCUGGGAGUGAGGCCUGCAAUGGAAAUUUGGGAUUCUCGGGUCCUUGUGGGAGAACUUCUUACUACUGCAUGCAGAAGUGGGAUGUUUUUCUGCCUGUUGCCCUGGAUUACCUCAUCCAUUACGGAUGUUGACAAAAUGGUUUUCAAUGAC
This 1399-nucleotide ribosomal RNA is filed under the name uncultured fungus. RNAcentral's name for it is "eukaryotic LSU rRNA". The stretch from base 689 to 1399 matches the Rfam family "Eukaryotic large subunit ribosomal RNA", at positions 1 to 648 of the family's 3401-position model. The record is from RNAcentral. Lineage: Eukaryota; Fungi.